AUGGCGGUGGCCAUUUAUCACAUCACGCCGGUCGACAUCCCUGUGGAGGUUCUAAAAACGAUUGACAAGUUGUGGCGUGCCUACCUUUGGGCAGGAUCUGACAUGGUUAGUGGUGGCAAGUGCAAGAUUAAUUGGGAGCAUGUCUGCAAGCCAAAGGAAUAUGUGGAACUUGGCAUUUUGCACCUUUGCAAGCUUGUUGUCGCCCUCCGGCUGAGGUGGCUAUGGCUUGAGUGGAAUGACCCACCUCGUGCGUGGUGUGGAUUGGGGAUGCCUUGCAUGACAUCUAACUGUGACCUUUUCGCGGACUUGACUGAGGUCAAGAUCGGCGAUGGACAGAAGGCUUCCUUCUGGGAAUCUUCUUGGCUUCAGGGUGUUAGGCCCAAAGAUAUUGCGCCAAAGUUUUUCGAUAUUUCAUGCAAGAAAGGUGUUACGGUCGCCACGGCCUUAAGGGAUGGGCAUAGGAUAACACAAAUCAACAUUGACACUGGCCUCACUCUAGAACACCUUCAACAAUUCUUGGCCCUUUGGGAGAAGCUAGCGACUGUGGCCAUUCAGCCGGAUGUCCAGGACUCUAUAGUGUGGAAGUCAACCAAUGAUGGGCAGUACUCUGCAAAGUCCGCUUACUUGGCACAGUUUCAUGACCUCCCGCUCUCAAGUUUGGCUGCUACGGUCUGGAAGGCGUGGGCUCCCCCCAAAUGCAAUUUUUUUGCCUGGCUUGUUAUCCAAAACUGA
This 732-nucleotide ribosomal RNA is filed under the name Triticum aestivum (bread wheat). RNAcentral's name for it is "partial small subunit ribosomal RNA". The record is from RNAcentral. Lineage: Eukaryota; Viridiplantae; Streptophyta; Magnoliopsida; Poales; Poaceae.